Molecule: long non-coding RNA, 552 nt
Filed under: Lathyrus oleraceus (garden pea)
Lineage: Eukaryota; Viridiplantae; Streptophyta; Magnoliopsida; Fabales; Fabaceae
Description: Pisum sativum (pea) long non-coding RNA (PSAT_LNC010495)
Source: RNAcentral
GGAGAGUGAGCGUGACUGAGGUGAGAGUUGAGCGGGUUUUCUGAGAGAGAGUGAAUAGCAGUGUUGAGGGAGUGAGAGCGUGAGUGAGGUAGUUGUAGUGGAGAGUGGGCGGAAUGAAAAUGAGAGCGUGAGAAUCCGUUAGAGGGAUUUUGUGAGGGUGAGGGACGCGUGGCAGAGAGGAUGAGAGAUUUUUUAGAGAUUUUUUGCUGAUAGAUCCGUUGGGAGUGGAUUGAAGAGGAUCCUAGGAGAUUUUUUUUAUUUCUUUUUUUAGUAUUUAUUUAUUUGUGUUUUUUUUAUUUAAGAAAGAGAAUCCAAUGCAAAUAUAUACAUAUUCUCAUAAUUAUUAAAUACCUAAAUAAUAAAACAUAAAAAACUAAUUAGUAUUUAAUUAACACAAAUUUUAAUCAUUUUAAUUAAAUAACUACACAAAACAUUGACCCAUCAAAAAAAUAAAAACCGGGUGCAAACUUGUUCGGAAAAUUGAACCGGUCACACUAAGAUUAUCAGGACAAAAUAUAUUUAUUAAAAAAUACAGUCUUUUCCUCAAAUUUU